Molecule: small RNA, 317 nt
Filed under: Caenorhabditis elegans
Lineage: Eukaryota; Metazoa; Nematoda; Chromadorea; Rhabditida; Rhabditidae
Description: Unclassified non-coding RNA Y37H9A.9
Source: RNAcentral
GCUUCCACCGAAAAUUCAACGUGUAGAAUCCUCUGAAUCUCUGUCACUUCUCGCCAACACCAUUUUCUCAAAAUAUCGAUCGAUUGAUGACGUCAUCGGCGUGCCACGUGUCGGAGAGCUCAAGCUCAAUUGUUUGAAAGCCAUUGGUACAGCUUUUCAGCAGAAAAAGUCUUAAAAAUCUGAAAAUUUCAGCGAAUUUGGCGAAUUUAUCGGAUUCUAAUAAGCUUGCCACGCUGCAAAAUGGCCGACAAGGACUAAUUUCAGUGCUUCAAUGUACCACGAGACGGCCUGAAUAUUUCUUGGAGAGCUUUACUAUG